RNAcentral lists this long non-coding RNA (14367 nucleotides) under Hordeum vulgare. Its description in RNAcentral is "long non-coding RNA (HVUL_LNC020883)". Lineage: Eukaryota; Viridiplantae; Streptophyta; Magnoliopsida; Poales; Poaceae. The record is from RNAcentral.
ACGUUGAUUCUCAACCUCACUCUGAAAUUCCUUGAACUUUUCAAACGUCUCAGAUUUGUGCUUCAUCAAGUAGAUAUACCCAUACCUACUCAAAUCAUCGGUGAGAGUGAGAACAUAACGAUAACCACCGCGAGCUUCAACGUUCAUUGGACCACACACAUCAGUAUGUAUUAUUUCCAAUAAGUCGGUUGCUCUCUCCAUUAUUCCUGAGAAUGGAGUCUUAGUCAUCUUGCCCAUGAGGCACAGUUCGCAUGUGUAAAAUGAUUCAAAGUCAAGAGACUCUAAUAGUCCAUCAAUAUGGAGCUUCUUCAUGCGCUUAACGCCGAUAUGACCAAGGCGGCAGUGCCACAAGUAUGUGGGACUGUCAUUAUCAACUUUACAUCUUUUGGUACUCACACUAUGAAUAUGUGUAACAUCACGAUCGAGAUUCAUCAAGAAUAAACCAUUCANNNNNNNNNNNNNNNNNNNNNNNNNNNNNNNNNNNNNNNNNNNNNNNNNNNNNNNNNNNNNNNNNNNNNNNNNNNNNNNNNNNNNNNNNNNNNNNNNNNNAGGUUGACUCGACGAGCUUAGCAUGUACAGACAUGACCUCGAAUACAAGAGACCGAAAGGUCGAACAUGAGUCGUAUGGUUGAAUACGAUCAGCAUGAAGUUGCUCACCAUGGUGACUAGUCCGUCUCACGUGAUGAUCGGACACGGGUUAGUCAACAUGGAUCAUGUAUCACUUAGAUGACUAGAGGGAUGUCGAUUUAAGUGGGAGUUCAUACUUAAUUUGAUUAAAUGAAAUUAAUUGUCAUGAACUUAGUCUAAAAGUUGUCUUUAUAAAUAUUGUAGAUGUCCAACGUCAACCUCAAUUUCAACGCAUUCCUAGAGAAAAACAAGCUGAAAGAUGAUGGUAGCAACUAUGCGGACUGGGUUUGCAACUUGAAGCUCAUCCUCGAAGCAGCUAAAAAGGCUUAUGUCCUUAAUGCGCCGCUAGGUGACCCUCCCGCUCCCGCAGCAGCCCAGGACAUUCUGAACGUCUGGCAAACGCGGAGUGAUGACUACUCUCUGGUCAGGUGUGGCAUGUUAUACAGUUUAGAAACGGGGCUCCAAAGGCGUUUUGAGCAACAUGGGGCAUAUGAGAUGUUCCAGGAGCUACAGCUAGUUUUUCAAGCUCAUGCCCGUGUCGAGAGAUAUGAAGUCUCCGACAAGUUCUUCAGCUGUAAGAUGGAGGAGAACAGUUCUGUCAGUGAGCACAUACUCAAAAUGUCUGGGUUACACGGUCGUCUGACUUCACUUGGAGUCGAACUUCCGGAUGAUGCUAUUAUUGACAGAAUCCUCCAGUCUCUCCCACCAAGCUACAAAGGCUUUGUGCUUAACUACAAUAUGCAAGGGAUGGAGAAGACCAUUCCCGAGUUGUACUCGCUGCUCAACUCUGCAGAAGUAGAAAUCAAGAAAGAGCAUCAAGUCUUGAUGGUCAACAAGACCACUAGUUUCAAGAAAGGCAAGGGUAAGAAGAACUUCAAGAAAGACGGCCAAGCUGUUGCCGCGCCCGGUAAGCCAGAUGCCGGGAAGAAGAAAAAGAACGGACCCAAGCCUGAGACUGAGUGCUUCUAUUGCAAGGGAAAGGGUCACUNNNNNNNNNNNNNNNNNNNNNNNNNNNNNNNNNNNNNNNNNNNNNNNNNNNNNNNNNNNNNNNNNNNNNNNNNNNNNNNNNNNNNNNNNNNNNNNNNNNNUCUCUCCUACUCUAGUCGGAUUGGAUUUGAUGAAAAGGGUCCUUAUGAAGGGUAAAUAGCUUUGGCAUAUAAUCGUUGUGGCUGUCACGUAGGUAAGAAGGCGUUCUUGCUAGAAACCCAAAUCAGCCACGUAAAACUUGCAACAACAAUUAGAGGACGUCUAACUUGUUUUUGCAGGGUUUGACAUGUGAUGUGAUAUGGCCAAAGUUGUGAUGUUGCAUGUAUAAUGUAUGAGAUGAUCAUGUUAUUGUAAUAGGUUUCACGACUUGCAUGUCGAUGAGUAUGACAACCGGCAGGAGCCAUAGGAGUUGUCUUAAUUUAUUGUAUGAGAUGCAACGCCAUGUGCUUACUACUUUUACUUCAUUGCUAACAGUUAGCUAUAGUAGUAGUGAUAGUAGUAGUUGGCGUGACGACAUCACAGAGACACGAUGAUGGAGAUCAUGAUGAUGGAGAUCAUGGUGUCACGCUGGUGACGAUGAUGAUCAUGCGAUGCCUGAAGAUGGAGAUCGAAAGAGCAAAGAUGAUAAUGGCCAUAUCAUGUCACUAUAUGAUUGCAUUGUGAUGUUUAUCAUGUUUUACAUCUUAUUGCUUAAAACGACGGUAGCAUAAUAAGAUGAUCCCUCUUAAAAUUUCAAGAACGUAUUCCCCUAAGUGUGCACCGUUGCGAAGGUUCAUUGUCUCGAAGCACCACGUGAUGAUCGGGUGUGAUAGAUUCUAACAUUCGCAUACAACCGGUGUAAGCCAGAUUUACACACGCGAAACACCUAGGUUGACUCGACGAGCUUAGCAUGUACAGACAUGACCUCGAAUACAAGAGACCGAAAGGUCGAACAUGACUCGUAUGGUUGAAUACGAUCAGCAUGCAGUUGCUCACCAUGGUGACUAGUCCGUCUCACGUGAUGAUCGGACACGGGUUAGUCAACAUGGAUCAUGUAUCACUUAGAUGACUAGAGGGAUGUCGAUUUAAGUGGGAGUUCAUACUUAAUUUGAUUAAAUGAAAUUAAUUGUCAUGAACUUAGUCUAAAAGUUGUCUUUAUAAAUAUUGUAGAUGUCCAACGUCAACCUCAAUUUCAACGCAUUCCUAGAGAAAAACAAGCUGAAAGAUGAUGGUAGCAACUAUGCGGACUGGGUUNNNNNNNNNNNNNNNNNNNNNNNNNNNNNNNNNNNNNNNNNNNNNNNNNNNNNNNNNNNNNNNNNNNNNNNNNNNNNNNNNNNNNNNNNNNNNNNNNNNNAAUACCCAGGAGCUACUACGAGCGCUGGUAAGGUACACAUCAAUAACAUGUAUAUCACAUAUACCUUUAACGUUGCCGGCCUUCUUGUCCGCUAAGUAUUUGGGGCAGUUCCGCUUCCAGUGACCCUUUCCCUUGCAAUAGAAGCACUCAGUCUCAGGCUUGGGUCCGUUCUUUUUCUUCUUCCCGGCAUCUGGCUUACCGGGCGCGGCAACAGCUUGGCCGUCUUUCUUGAAGUUCUUCUUACCCUUGCCUUUCUUGAAACUAGUGGUCUUGUUGACCAUCAAAACUUGAUGCUCUUUCUUGAUUUCUACUUCUGCAGAAUUGAGCACCGAGUACAACUCGGGAAUGGUCUUCUCCAUCCCUUGCAUGUUGUAGUUAAGCACAAAGCCUUUGUAGCUUGGUGGGAGAGACUGGAGGAUUCUGUCAAUUAUAGCAUCAUCCGGAAGUUCGACUCCAAGUGAAGUCAGACGACCGUGUAACCCAGACAUUUUGAGUAUGUGCUCACUGACAGAACUGUUCUCUUCCAUCUUACAGCUAAAGAACUUGUCGGAGACUUCAUAUCUCUCGGCACGGGCAUGAGCUUGAAAAACUAGCUUCAUCUCCUGGAACAUCUCAUAUGCCUCAUGUUGCUCAAAACGCCUUUGGAGCCCCGUUUCUAAACUGUAUAACAUGCUACACCUAACCAGAGAGUAGUCAUCACUCCGCGUUUUCCAGACGUUCAGAAUGUCCUGGGCUGCUGCGGGAGCGGGAGGGUCACCUAGCGGCGCAUCAAGGACAUAAGCCUUUUUAGCUGCUUCAAGGACGAGCUUCAAGUUGCGAACCCAGUCCGCAUAGUUGCUACCAUCAUCUUUCAGCUUGUUUUUCUCUAGGAAUGCGUUGAAAUUGAGGUUGACGUUGGACAUCUACAAUAUUUAUAAAGACAACUUUUAGACUAAGUUCAUGACAAUUAAGUUCAUUUAAUCAAAUUAAAUAUGAACUCCCACUUAAAUCGACAUCCCUCUAGUCAUCUAAGUGAUACAUGAUCCAUGUUGACUAACCCGUGUCCGAUCAUCACGUGAGACGGACUAGUCACCAUGGUGAGCAACUCCAUGCUGAUCGUAUUCAACCAUACGAAUCAUGUUCGACCUUUCGGUCUCUUGUAUUCGAGGUCAUGUCUGUACAUGCUAAGCUCGUCGAGUCAACCUNNNNNNNNNNNNNNNNNNNNNNNNNNNNNNNNNNNNNNNNNNNNNNNNNNNNNNNNNNNNNNNNNNNNNNNNNNNNNNNNNNNNNNNNNNNNNNNNNNNNGCGGAGACUGGCCAAGGACGAGGUGACGAUGCGCGUCGGGAAUGGUUCAAAGGUCGAUGUGAUCGCCGUCAGCACGCUGCCUCUACAUCUACCGUCGGGAUUAGUUUUAAACCUUAAUAAUUGUUAUUUAGUACCAGCUUUAAGCAUGAACAUUGUAUCAGGGUCUUGCUUAAUGCGAGACGGCUACUCAUUUAAGUCAGAGAAUAAUGGUUGUUCUAUUUAUAUGAGUGAUAUGUUUUAUGGUCAUGCUCCGCUGGUGAAUGGUUUAUUCUUGAUGAAUCUCGAUCGUGAUGUUACACAUAUUCAUAGUGUGAGUACCAAAAGAUGCAAAGUUGAUAAUGAUACUCCCACAUACUUGUGGCACUGCCGCCUUGGUCAUAUCGGCGUUAAGCGCAUGAAGAAGCUCCAUACUGAUGGACUAUUAGAGUCUCUUGACUUUGAAUCAUUUGACACAUGCGAACCGUGCCUCAUGGGCAAGAUGACUAAGACUCCAUUCUCAGGAAUAAUGGAGAGAGCAACCGACUUAUUGGAAAUAAUACAUAUUGAUGUGUGUGGUCCAAUGAACGUUGAAGCUCGCGGUGGUUAUCGUUAUGUUCUCACUCUCACCGAUGAUUUGAGUAGGUAUGGGUAUAUCUACUUGAUGAAGCACAAAUCUGAGACGUUUGAAAAGUUCAAGGAAUUUCAGAGUGAGGUUGAGAAUCAACGUGACAGAAAAAUUAAAUGUCUACGAUCUGAUCGUGGAGGAGAAUAUUUGAGUCACGAGUUUGGCACACACCUAAGGAAGUGUGGAAUCGUUUCACAACUGACGCCGCCUGGCACACCGCAGCGCAACGGAGUGUCUGAACGUCGUAAUCGCACUUUAUUAGAUAUGGUACGAUCUAUGAUGUCUCUCACCGACUUACCGCUAUCAUUUUGGGGAUACGCAUUAGAAACUGCAGCAUUCACUUUAAAUAGGGCACCGUCUAAAUCCGUUGAGACGACACCGUAUGAACUAUGGUUUGGCAAGAAACCUAAGUUGUCGUUUCUUAAAGUUUGGGGCUGCGAUGCUUAUGUGAAGAAACUUCAACUAGAAAAGCUCCAACCCAAAGAGGAGAAAUGCGUAUUCAUAGGAUACCCUAAGGAAACUAUUGGGUAUACCUUCUAUCUUAGAUCCGAAGGUAAAACCUUUGUUGCCAAGAACGGAUCCUUUCUAGAGAAAGAGUUUCUCUCGAAAGAAGUAAGUGGGAGGAAGGUAAAACUUGAUGAGGUAAUUGCACCCCCUCUCGAACAGGAAAGUAGCGCAGCGCGGGAAGUUGUUCCUGUGGCGCCUAUACCGAAUGAAGAGGAAGUUAAUGAUGAUGAUCAUGAAGCUUCGGAUCAAGUUACUACUGAACCGCGAAGGUCCACAAGGGCACGCUCCGCACCAGAGUGGUACGGCAACCCUGUGAUGGAAAUCAUGUUGUUAGACAAUGGUGAGCCUUCGAACUAUGAAGAAGCAAUGGCGGGCCCGGAUUCCAACAAAUGGCUUGAGGCUAUGAAAUCCGAGAUAGGAUCCAUGUAUGAGAACAAAGUAUGGACUUUGGUGGACUUGCCCGAUGACCGGCGAGCCAUAGAAAAUAAAUGGAUCUUCAAGAAGAAGACUGAUGCAAACGGUAAUGUAACCGUUUACAAAGCUCGACUUGUCGCAAAGGGUUUUCGACAAAUUCAAGGAGUUGACUACGAAGAGGCUUUCUCUCCCGUAGCGAAGCUGAAAUCAGUUCGAAUCAUGUUAGCAAUUGCCGCCUUUUAUGAUUAUGAAAUUUGGGAAAUGGACGUCAAAACAGCGUUCCUUAACGGGAACCUUAAGGAAGAGUUGUAUAUGAUGCAACCAGAAGGUUUUGUCGACCCUAAGGGUGCUAACAAAGUGUGCAAGCUCCAGCGCUCCAUCUAUGGGCUGGUGCAAGCAUCUCGGAGUUGGAACAUUCGCUUUAAUGAGGUAAUUAAAGCGUUUGGGUUCAUACAGGUUUACGGAGAAACCUGUCUGUACAAGAAAGUGAGUGGGAGCUCUGUAGCUUUCCUCAUACUAUAUGUGGAUGACAUAUUAUUGAUGGGGAAUAAUAUAGAGAUGUUGGAGAGCAUAAAGGCCUAUUUGAACAAGAGUUUUUCAAUGAAGGACCUUGGAGAAGCUGCAUACAUAUUAGGCAUCAAGAUCUAUAGAGAUAGAUCGAGACGCCUCAUAGGUCUUUCGUAAAGUACAUACCUUGACAAGAUAUUGAAGAAGUUCAAUAUGGAAAACUCAAAGAAAGGGUCAUUGCCAGUUUUGCAAGGUAUGAGAUUGAGUAAGACUCAGUCGCCGACCACGGCAGUAGAUAGAGAGAAGAUGAGUUAUGUCCCCUACGCUUCAGCCGUGGGCUCUCUAAUGUAUGCCAUGUUGUGUACCAGACCUGAUAUAAACCUUGCCAUAAGUUUGGUAGGGAGGUACCAAAGUAAUCCCGGUACGGAACACUCGACAGCGGUCAAGAAUAUCCUUAAGUACCUGAAAAGGACUAAGGAAAUAUUUCUCGUUUAUGGAGGUGACGAAGAGCUCGUCGUAAAGGGUUACGUCGACGCUAGCUUCGACAUAGAUCCGGAUGACUCUAAGUCACAGACCGGAUACGUAUAUGUGUUGAAUGGUGGGGCAGUGAGCUGGUGCAACAGCAAGCAAGAAGUCGUGGCAGCAUCUACAUGUGAAGCGGAGUACAUAGCUGCUUCAGAAGCGGCUCAUGAAGGAAUUUGGAUGAAGGAGCUCAUCACUGACCUUGGAGUGGUUCCAAGCGCGUCGGGUCCCAUGACACUCUUCUGUGAUAACACUGGAGCCAUUGCCAUAGCCAAGGAGCCCAGGUUUCACUGAAAGACGAAGCACAUCAAGCGCCGCUACAACUCCAUCCAGGACCAUGUCCAGAGUGGAGUGAUAGAUAUUUGUAAAGUACACACGGAUCUGAAUAUUGCAGACCCGUUGACUAAACCUCUUCCACGAGCAAAACAUGAUCAACACCAUAAUGCUAUGGGUGUUCGAUACAUCACAAUGUAACUAGAUUAUUGACUCUAGUGCAAGUGGGAGACUGUUGGAAAUAUGCCCUAGAGGCAAUAAUAAAAUGGUUAUUAUCAUAUUUCCUCGUUCAUGAUAAUCGUCUAUUGUUCAUGCUAUAAUUGUAUUAACAGGAAACAGUAAUACAUGUGUGAAUAAAUAGAUCACAAUGUGUCCCUAGGAAGCCUCUAGUUGGCUAGCUCGUUAGUCAAUAGAUGAUCAUGGUUUCCUGAUCAUGGGCAUUAGAUGUCAUUGAUAACGGGAUCACAUCAGUGGGAGAAUGAUGUGAUGGACAAGACCCAAUCCUAAGCCUAGCACUAGAUCGUAUUGUUCGUAUGCUAAUGCUUUUCUAAUGUCAAGUAUCUUUUCCUUCGACCGUGAGAUUGUGCAACUCCCAGAUGCCGUAGGAGUGCUUUGGGUGUAUCAAACGUCACAACGUAACUGGGUGACUAUAAAGGUGCACUACGGGUAGGGGGGGGGGGGGGGGUUGGGUUGGUACGAAUCGAGAUCGGGAUUUGUCACUCCGUGUGACGGAGAGGUAUCUCUGGGCCCACUCGGUAGAACAUCAUCAUGAGCUCAAUGUGACUAAGGAGUUAGUCACACGAUGAUGUGCUACGGAACGAGUAAAGAGACUUACCGGUAACGAGAUUGAACAAGGUAUAGGUAUACCGACGAUCGAAUCUCGGGCAAGUUCUAUACCGACAGACANNNNNNNNNNNNNNNNNNNNNNNNNNNNNNNNNNNNNNNNNNNNNNNNNNNNNNNNNNNNNNNNNNNNNNNNNNNNNNNNNNNNNNNNNNNNNNNNNNNNGGGGGGGGGGGAGGGUGUUAGAUUUGUAUUGCCCCUUUUUUGUAUAUCCCCAUUAUAUAAGGGGUUUCUACCACUUUUACCAUAUGUAUAUAUAUUGGCCUUUGGCCCCUGUGAAUAUUUGCUCAUUAUCUAACAGAUCCAACACAAGGUUGGGUCGAAGCUAGUUUAUAUCUGGGACGUUACACCAACCUCUCAAGCCAAUCCAACAUUGCAGACAGAUUUAUGAUACACUUCCUUUUCACGAGCCCGAGGCAAUGUACCUAUGUCAAAAAAAGUAGGAGUUCGAGGCAAUGUACCUAAUACAAACUGUGAAGCCUUCCCACCUAGGCUAUACAUGAGGUCCUUGAGAUGCUCUAUAAGAUAUCGGUUAAAAGAGAAAACGUCCAAAAUAAGAGAAAUAUAACUAUAUUUUUUUUGUAUUUGUCGCUUCAAAGGAUCAGUAUGUUGGACAAGAAGAGAAGCACUGAAGUAGCAUCACUCAUCAUCAAGGUCAAAAUCGUUGUCCGAUGCGCACUCGAGAUAUGAACCAAUCGACUUGCGGAAGAUGAUGAAAGACUUGUCAUCCUGUGAAAAAAGAAUGCAUUAUUUUGCAGGAAGAGGUGUUUCAAGCCAUGGAACAAAAAAAACUGGCUGGUCAUUCAGCUUUAGGCCUGACGGGUAGCUAAAAAUGAAGUCUAAGAAAUGCAAGCAGUUGUGAAUUUUGCCACACCUGCUUCAUCCUUUUCAGUGAUGGUUUGGCAUUUGUUAUCUUAUCUGAUAAGGUGUCACCAUGUUCUGACAAUGUAGCCGUCUCCUCCCCUGUUUGAAGGAUUUGAGUGUAAGAGCAGCAUAUUUCCAUCCAAGGGAAAUAAUGAAUCCUCUAGCUACUUACUUUGAUAUUCAUACUGCUCAAGCAGUUUCUUUUUCUCAACUUCAAUUUGUGAGGAUAGAUCUGCAUAAUAGGACAUGUAACAAGUCAAAUAAGAGCCAAAUAUUUUUGCAGAUUCAAUGAGAUCUGAACGUCUUUUAUGGGAACAUCAUCCAAAUAAUGCUGAGUCGCUAAUAAGCAGUAGCCAAGCAAUGCAUAUUUAGAAACAACACACAUAAUUUGAAUACAAGUGUCAUGUAGAUUCUAUUUGCAUCAAAACCAGGUAUCUCAAUAUUUUUUCUAAAGAUAAGAAUCACAGCUCAUACGUAGUAGCCGAUUACACCAAAUGAGAAACAACCAUCACACGUCACAAUGCCCUAAAAUCCUAGAUAGACCUGGAUAGAAGCACAUGAUAUACUUGUGAAAAUGACAACCAGCUCUUAUUUGACAUACCUUUGAAGGUUUGUAAGUGUGCAUCAUUUUCUUCGCAGAACAUUUCAUAUGUUUCCUGAAGCUUGGUGUACUCUUCGUUCAAUGAACUUUCACACUGCUAAUAGUGCAAAUUACACGCCAUAAUUCAAUCUUAGGCAAAUCAGCAAGUAAGUCGACAAUUCCAAAGAAUUGUAAACUGUGUACCUCUUUCGAAGUGCUUGACAGUACUUUCAGCAAAUUCUGCCUGCACAUGCAAAUAUAACAGUGACACUACGUUCUAAAUAAAAACGAACAAGCUUCCUUUUCUGACAGAACUGGUUUCAGGCGUAAUUGUUCAUGCAGGCAUCGUUUCACAGUUCACAAGCAAGUGAGUUACCUUUCCUUCUCAAACUUGGACUUGGUAUCUUCAAGCAUAGUCUGAAUAUUGGCUGCAACACUGUCAGGUUUAGAAAAGUAAAGGAAUAAACAGGGUAAGAAGAAGGUAAAAGAAUAAUGAUCAGCAACAUUAUGCGCUUCAAACUUCACAGUUCAGUCAGCGGAGUCCCUGUUAGUCCACAUGUUAUAAUUUUCGGCUUCUUUUCCUCCCCGAUGCCUGUGUAAAUAAUUCUUUGUAAUAGUUCUGAGAAGUUUAUAGAAAUGUUCAGGCUGGCUUUGCCGGCCGUAGUUCUGAAAAUCAACUCACCCGAACAAAGCCACACCAUGACAUAAGUACAAAACAUGAAUCCGGGAACCCAUCAAAUUAAUAUGUCCAUUUUCCUCGCAUCACUCACAAUGCAUAUCGCUCCGCAUAAUAUACAAAAACUGACAUAUCACCGAACGAACCUAGUUCCUGCAUUAAUCACAGAAACAGCCGAGUGGACGCAUUGCAGGAUUGCAAACGUGCAACAUUUAUUUGUAUCCCUCCCAGUGACCAUGAACUGUAAGUUUUCCACACAAAUCCGCCAGCACGAAAUGCAUCAUAAGAAGCUGCUAGGAUAGCAUACGCCGAUCCCAAUUUUUUUGCACGCUAGCACAUAGCGAGAUAAGAGAAAAUUUAGAGGUGCAAGUGCAACCGAAAGAACACUGUUCUCCGCACCUGGCGAUGAUCUGCUCGCACAUCUUCUGGCCAGCCUUGUUGGUCCCGCCCUUGAUCAACCGCAGCAGGCACGCGAUCUGCCUCAAGUCGCUGCGCCCGCCACAAAAGUAGCCAUCACGGAGUUAAAGCGAGAAGGAAUUAGAAACGGGAGACACCGAAUCGAAGAGGAAAAGCUCGAAAUCAGAUGUGCGGCACCUGACGAAAUCGCCGUCAGAUUCCGAGCCGGAGCUGGAGCCGGAAUCGGAACCGGAGCCGAAAUCCACGGGGUGGCGCGGCCUCUUCGACGACCGCAGAGCCUCUUCACCCAGGGACAUCCUCCUUCCGCCGCCGGGACUCGCCGCGGGCCGCAUCGCUGGUCGACGAGCGUAGUGCAGCGCAAUUCGAAAUUUGGAGGGGGAGCGAGAGGGUAGUGAUGUAAUACUGGCAAAAUUUUGGUGGCCCACUCACAGUAUUGGCUUUUGUAAGGGAAAGUGUUCGUGCGCGCAAGGCUACGAGCAACUAGUUCCUCCUCUUGUAAUUUUUUUUUCCUUCGACGCGUCCGUUGAAGUGUUCGGCCGGUCGCGUUCCUUCCUCACGUUUUUCUUCCACCUUUUCCUUUUCCCCUCCCGCGCACACUCGGAUUUUUUCACUGUUUUAACCUUUUUUCUAAANNNNNNCACAAAAUGAACCAGAUUUGAAACCAUUUCACGAUCUGACCCUUUUAAAAACGCCACAAGCCGUGGCGUUGCUNNNNNNNNNNNNNNNNNNNNNNNNNNNNNNNNNNNNNNNNNNNNNNNNNNNNNNNNNNNNNNNNNNNNNNNNNNNNNNNNNNNNNNNNNNNNNNNNNNNNUGGACAAGAAUACAUGGAGUUACUCAAGCCAUUGAAUCAUUUGACUUUGUUUUCAAUCUUCACUUGAUGCUUGUUAUUCUUGGCUAUACAAAUGAGUUGUCCAAAUCUUUGCAAAAGAGAGAUCAAGAUACUAUUAAUGCAGUGGCACUUGUUAGUUUGGCAAAGAGUAGAAUGCGACACAUGAGGUGUCAUGGUUAGGAAGAAUUUCUUGCAAAGCUAACCCUAUUUUGCCAGAAACAUGACAUUCAAGUUCCUUUGUGGGAGGAUACUUAUGCAGGGGCAGAAUUAGCAUGGGUUCACGUCUAGGGCCAAAUUAGCUUCAGUGGUGUAUUUUAGAGAUUUUUUGUACUUAGUAAGUAGGUAUUACAAAGACUAUUGUCACUACACCUAGGGCUAUAGCCCCAUUUUCCCUAGGCCUGAUUCCAACAUUGUACUUAUGAGCAUCAUGGAAUAUCACGUUGGUAUAAUGAAGUUCAAACAAAUGAUGAUCGUUAUAAAAGAGAAGUAUAUCUUGGUGUCAUUGAUCAAACCAUUCUAUCCCAUGGACAUAUCAAGCACGGAUUUGAUAAGGCUAGAAUUUCAACUUGCUACUUUUAUUGAUGAUACGAGACAAGAUGAUAUUGGUGAGCUCUCUAUUUUACUUGUUGCAACAAAGAAUCAUAUUCUCUAUGAUUUGGUCUACUUACUCAUCAAAUUGAUAUUGAUUUUACCGAUGGCAACAACGAGUGUUGAAAGGGUAUUUUCUGCAAUGAAUCUAGUGAAAAAUAAAUUAAGGACUAGUAUGGGUGAUGAUCGUUUGGUGACAAUUAUUAAGCGAGAUGUGUUCAUGAAAGUAAAUGAAGAUGACAUAGUUGAUGCUUUCAUGACAAUGCAACGACGUAGAGUUACCUAGUGUUGUAAUUUUCUACUUCUGUUACUUUCAUGUAAGUCUUUUCUAUUGUAACUGGGCACAUUUGAAAUACAUUUUAUGUACUAAAUGGUUGUGAGAUUUCAAUUGAGCUAUUUAUGUUACUCAUUUGACAUAUUUUGAUACAUUUGGAUUAGGUAGGAAAAAAAUAGAGUGCGCAUGCCCUUUAUUUUAUUCCUGGGUACCCACACAAUGGAACGCAAAAAUAUCCAGCCGAGCGAGCAGUAAAUCCACCAUACGGGAUGUGCAUACUUAAUACUCCUACAUUGCAACAAAUAAUCGUGAAAAAAAAUGGAAAAAGAAACCAUAUGCGAUCAGGCACAUGACGAAGGAAGGGUCACAUGAAUGAAGAAGAGAGAAAAGCCACAUAUCGACCCGAAUAGCGAAGUGUGGGAGCCGCGAUGGCGGGCACUGGCAGCCAUACAUUGGGCUAUCCAAAAUCUCAUCUCUCGCCCAAUCCCGGCCUCACGAUCUCAAUUCUCACCCCGCGUGCACCACAAGCUCCAAUCCCCUAACUCGUAUAUACAGCCACGCCCGCCUCACCGUCCUUGAUCUUCCCCCCUAUCUGAUCGGAUCCUUUGGACAUGGCGUCGCCCAUGCUCUCCACGGCCAUGGCGCCACUCCAGGUAUUGCUCGUGUUCCAUUUCCAUUCCAUGCUUGCGUAGUAGUACAGUUCUUCCAUGUUUGUGACGCGCGGUGGUUAUGUAACUGGACUGCCAUGCAUCCUCUGUCGAUCCAGGGGGGCAUGCUGGAGUUCUCCGGGCUGAGGAGCUCGUCGUCGCUGCCGCUCCGGCGGAAUGCCACCUCCGACGACUUCAUGUCCGCCGUCUCCUUCAGGACAUACGCGGUAUGAUAUGAAUAUGAUGGGCGGAAUGUGGCUGUCACCUAGGAGUACGUAGCUCGCUUGGUCGCAUGCCAUGAGACAUGAGCGGCGCGUGGUACGGUGGUUGCAGGUGAGCACGAGCGGCGGGUCGCGGAAGGCGCCGACGGAGGCGAAGCUCAAGGUGGCGAUCAACGGGUUCGGGCGCAUCGGGCGCAACUUCCUGCGGUGCUGGCACGGGCGCGGCGACAGCUCGCCGCUGGAGGUGAUCGCCAUCAACGACACCGGAGGCGUGAAGCAGGCGUCCCACCUCCUCAAGUACGACUCCACGCUGGGCAUCUUCGACGCGGACGUCAAGCCCGUGGGCGACAACGCCAUCUCCGUCGACGGCAAGGUGAUCAAGGUCGUGUCCGACCGCAACCCCUCCAACCUGCCGUGGGGCGAGAUGGGCAUCGACCUCGUCAUCGAGGGCACCGGCGUCUUCGUCGACCGCGCCGGCGCGGGCAAGCAUCUCGAGGCCGGAGCCAAGAAGGUGCUCAUCACCGCGCCCGGCAAGGGCGACAUCCCCACCUACGUCUGCGGCGUCAACGCCGACCUCUACACCCACGCCGACACCAUCAUCAGCAACGCCUCAUGCACCACCAACUGCCUCGCCCCCUUCGUCAAGGUCCUCGACCAAAAGUUCGGUACGUGCCCGUCUCCCUCCCUCUCUCUCUCUCUCAACUGAAUCAACUUGUUGACGAUGACUAAUGGCGGCGGUGGCAAUGGCGCAGGCAUCAUCAAGGGAACCAUGACCACAACCCACUCGUACACCGGCGACCAGAGGCUGCUCGACGCGAGCCACCGCGACCUGCGCCGUGCCCGCGCCGCCGCCCUCAACAUAGUGCCGACCUCCACCGGCGCGGCCAAGGCCGUGGCGCUGGUGCUCCCCAACCUCAAGGGCAAGCUCAACGGGAUCGCGCUCCGGGUGCCCACCCCCAACGUGUCCGUCGUCGACCUCGUGGUGCAGGUCUCCAAGAAGACCCUCGCCGAGGAGGUGAACCAGGCGUUCCGCGACGCCGCCGCCAACGAGCUCAAGGGCAUCCUCGACGUCUGCGACGAGCCCCUCGUGUCCGUCGACUUCAGGUGCUCCGACGUCUCCUCCACCAUCGACGCGUCGCUCAGCAUGGUCAUGGGAGACGACAUGGUCAAGGUCAUUGCAUGGUACGACAACGAGUGGGGUUACUCCCAGAGGGUCGUCGACCUCGCCGACAUCGUCGCCAACCAAUGGAAGUGAACGCCCCCCCACAGCGGCAUUGCCCUGUCAAGUGACUCCUCUCGAAAUUUUCCCCAGCCGUCGUCACGGAUGAUCGAUUCUUUGUAAUGAGAAUUCAAAGUAUCGAGCUCCCAACAC